UCUUCAGUCUUUUUUUUUUUUUUUCAAACUCUUCUGAUUUUUUACCUAUUCUUUAUGAAGUUUACCUUCAAAAACAAAACUCAGCUGUCACCUCCUGGUCUUUGAGGCGCACUUAAAGAAG
Molecule: non-coding RNA, 121 nt
Filed under: Fibrocapsa japonica
Lineage: Eukaryota; Raphidophyceae; Chattonellales; Chattonellaceae
Source: RNAcentral